This 448-nucleotide ribosomal RNA is filed under the name Synergistetes bacterium oral taxon B52. Its description in RNAcentral is "bacterial SSU rRNA". It matches the Rfam family "Bacterial small subunit ribosomal RNA", at positions 32 to 486 of the family's 1533-position model. Lineage: Bacteria; Thermotogati; Synergistota. The record is from RNAcentral.
AAUCAACGCUGGCGGCGUGCCUCAGACAUGCAAGUCGAACGAUUAAGACUUCCUUCGGGAAGUGUAUAAAGUGGCGCACGGGUGAGUAACACGUAAGUAAUCUACCCUCGAGUGGGGAAUAACAUCGGGAAACCGAUGCUAAUACCGCAUAACGCAGCGGCACCGCAAGGUGACAGUUGUUAAAGGAGCAAUCCGCUUGAGGAGGAGCUUGCGGCAGAUUAGCUAGUUGGUGAGGUAAUGGCUCACCAAGGCGACGAUCUGUAUCCGGCCUGAGAGGGCGGUCGGACACACUGACACUGAAUAACGGGUCAGACUCCUACGGGAGGCAGCAGUUGGGAAUUUUGGGCAAUGGGCGAAAGCCUGACCCAGCAACGCCGCGUGAGGGGUGAAGUACUUCGGUAUGUAAACCUCGAAAGAAUGGGAAGAAUAAAUGACGGUACCAUUAUAG